Molecule: long non-coding RNA, 245 nt
Filed under: Gossypium barbadense (sea-island cotton)
Lineage: Eukaryota; Viridiplantae; Streptophyta; Magnoliopsida; Malvales; Malvaceae
Description: long non-coding RNA (GBAR_LNC017254)
Source: RNAcentral
CAUUCAUCAAAAAGAAAUUACAUGCAAGUCGGGUCUAACCCCGGUACUAGCCUUAAGCAUAAACAAAGGCCAAAGAAACAAUACAUGAAAAAGACCCAAUAACUAGAUAGUUGAAACACAUAAUCGAAAAGAAAGGAAAAACCACUGUUGAGAUUAUCUUCCAAACGCCACAAACCACGAAAAGGGUGUUUCUUCAGACUGGGUGCAUGAAGAGACUCUCGCCUUUAACUUCGGCAGCAUACCCG